This 466-nucleotide ribosomal RNA is filed under the name uncultured bacterium. RNAcentral's name for it is "partial 16S ribosomal RNA". It matches the Rfam family "Bacterial small subunit ribosomal RNA", at positions 28 to 507 of the family's 1533-position model. The record is from RNAcentral.
GAUGAACGCUGGCGGCGUGCUUAACACAUGCAAGUCGAACGGAAAGGCUCCUGCUUGCCGGGGUACUCGAGUGGCGAACGGGUGAGUAACACGUGGGUGAUCUGCCCUGCACUUCGGGAUAAGCCUGGGAAACUGGGUCUAAUACCGGAUAGGACGAUGGUUUGGAUGCCAUUGUGGAAAGUUUUUGCGGUGUGGGAUGAGCUCGCGGCCUAUCAGCUUGUUGGUGGGGUAAUGGCCAACCAAGGCGUCGACGGGUCGCCGGCAUGAGAGGGUGUACGGCGACAUGGGGCCUGCGAGACGGAGCAGACGGCUACGGGAGGCAGUGGUCGAGAAUAUGGCACAGUGAGCGCACGCGUGAUGUAGCGACGCCGCGUGCGGAAUGACGGGCUUCGGGUGAUGAACAACUGUCUCAGUGGACGAGGACGUCGUGACGGUACCUGGUGAGAAAGCACCGGCUAACUACGUG